GGGGCGGUAGCUCAGCUGGUCAGAGCAGCGGACUCAUAAUCCGUGGGUCGCGGGUUCGAGCCCCGCCCGCCCUA
RNAcentral lists this transfer RNA (74 nucleotides) under Streptomonospora mangrovi. RNAcentral's name for it is "tRNA-Ile". It matches the Rfam family "tRNA". From Rfam's summary of the family: Transfer RNA (tRNA) molecules are approximately 80 nucleotides in length. Their secondary structure includes four short double-helical elements and three loops (D, anti-codon, and T loops). Further hydrogen bonds mediate the characteristic L-shaped molecular structure. tRNAs have two regions of fundamental functional importance: the anti-codon, which is responsible for specific mRNA codon recognition, and the 3' end, to which the tRNAs corresponding amino acid is attached (by aminoacyl-tRNA synthetases). tRNAs cope with the degeneracy of the genetic code in two manners: having more than one tRNA (with a specific anti-codon) for a particular amino acid; and 'wobble' base-pairing, i.e. permitting non-standard base-pairing at the 3rd anti-codon position. Lineage: Bacteria; Bacillati; Actinomycetota; Actinomycetes; Streptosporangiales; Nocardiopsidaceae. The record is from RNAcentral.